GGAUGUGAGGGCGAUCUGGCUGUGACAUCUGUCAGCUCAUUGAUUACCAGGGUUGAUUCGGCUGAUCUGGCUGGCUAGGCGGGUGUCCCCUUCCUCCCUCACCACUCCAUGUGUGUCCCUCCCAAAGAUGCAUACUCGUUUGGAGAGGACGACCUUCCCUGAUAGAGGAGAGCACCAUUCUUAGGUCAAGGAUAUACGAGUUAGCUGCACUCCCCUGCUAGAACCUCCAAACAAGCUCUCGAAGUCUUUGUGAAAUAUUGUGAUGGAUUUUUUUUUUUUACCUUGUAAAUAUCCCUUCACAAUGAUUAAUUAGAUCUAAAG
Molecule: small nuclear RNA, 321 nt
Filed under: Pteropus alecto (black flying fox)
Lineage: Eukaryota; Metazoa; Chordata; Mammalia; Chiroptera; Pteropodidae
Description: 7SK RNA
Rfam family: 7SK RNA
About the family: 7SK was discovered as an abundant small nuclear RNA in the mid-70s but a possible function has only recently been suggested. Two independent studies have found that 7SK RNA binds the CDK9/cyclin T complex (known as elongation factor P-TEFb).
Source: Rfam by way of RNAcentral